GUGUCAGCAGCCGCGGUAAUACCCGCAGCACAAGUGGUGGUCAUUAUUAUUGGGCCUAAAGCGUCCGUAGCUGGCUUGUUAGAUGCCUGGGUAAAUCGAUGCGCUCAACGCAUCGAACUCCGGGUAGACCGGCAAGCUUGGGACCGGGAGAGGCGUGAGCUACUCGAGGGGUAGGGGUAAAAUCCUGUAAUCCUUCGGGGAGGACCAGUGGCGAAGGCGUCACGCUAGAACGGCUCCGACAGUGAGGGACGAAGCCCUGGGGCGCAAACCGGAUUAGAAACCCCCGUAGUCC
This 292-nucleotide ribosomal RNA is filed under the name uncultured bacterium. RNAcentral describes it as "partial 16S ribosomal RNA". It matches the Rfam family "Archaeal small subunit ribosomal RNA", at positions 455 to 747 of the family's 1478-position model. The record is from RNAcentral.